Alligator mississippiensis (American alligator) is the source of this 2130-nucleotide long non-coding RNA. RefSeq lists it as uncharacterized. The transcript is spliced from 3 exons. The record is from RefSeq and is a predicted model, not a curated record. NCBI's taxonomy places the organism in Eukaryota, Metazoa, Chordata, Crocodylia, Alligatoridae.
GGCUGAAGCCAGGCUAGCAGUUUCCUGCCAGCAGCUGGAGAGGCAGGAACUCCCUCGGCCAAGACAUGGGAAGAAGUUUGUUUGCAAGUACAGCUCGUGAUAGUUCUGGAGGCUUGAGCAAUGAUACUAAGUUAUAGCCAGACAGAGAAAUAUGUUUGCAGAGGAUAAUACACAACAUGGCCAAAGGUUUAAACAGCCCAAGUAGAGAGCACCAUUUGUAUAUUCUGCUACAAGGAACACACACACCAGUUGUGGCAGAAAAUGUUUACAUGAGCCCAUGUUACAGGAGAGUAAGACUGACAUGUUCCUGACACAACAGCCAGAUGGUCUGGAGAAUCGCCCAAGAGCCAACAGAUCAGGGUUCAAGCUCUUCUGCACCUGAUUUAGGCUAGAGACUUGAACUAAAUUCUCUUACAACAUAGAUAAAUGCCCUCACCACUGGCUGGGUGGUUAUUUCUUGGAAAGCAGGCAUGUUCCAACUUAGAUGUGAGCAAAUCCUUGGAUGGGAUUUUUUUAGCUAGCUGAGACUGCGGGAGUCACUCAUCCAGGUGUAAAAUCAAAGUGUUAGCCUGCUUAUAGUACAUGCUAGGACCAAUGGGAGUCGGGGAUGCAGGAUCUGUCCUGUGCUGCUUAGUGAGCAACACAGGCACCUUGAAGGAUCAGUUCCUAAAAGUGGUGUGCACUUUUUUAAGAAGAGGAAGAAUAUUGUUUCAGAGGCCUGAAACUUCACUUUCCCCUUGAAUCUCCCCCCACCCCCCUCUUAUUUCAUAAGGUCUUCCUUUCAUGCCUGAGCUUUGUGGGGUAACACCACUGCUGUUAAAGAAUUGCCCUGAGCCUGGCUGUAUCUCAGUGGGAGGUAACUGUGACAAAAGUUUCUAGAGAAGAGCUACCCUGCCUUCAGUGAUGGGCUGAUAAUCAUGCUUGGCUCUUCCUUAGUGCCCUCUGUCAAUAUUUUUACCCUGCUUUAUUGCACAAUGAGGGUGUUUGAUUCCUGGCCAUCUGACACCUUCUAUGUCCAUGCACACCACUGAAAAGGCGUGCUUAUGAAACGCCCCAGUAUCAAACCACUGCGGUCCCAGGCCCAUGUGGCAUUUAUGUCAUGGUCAGUGAUGGGUGACAUAGCCCCUUGCAUCUAAUCUAAGAGGCAAAUAGUACCUGAUCAGAUGGGGAGCAUUUUACCCCCACUUUGUGCACAGGUAAAUCCACGCAGGUUUCUAGUUUUGGGGAAGCAGGAAGCAGCCUCUCUAGCUAGAUGCUUUGCCUCUCCCCUUCUUGCUUAUUAUUUGCAAAGCCUCUUGAAGCAGAAUAAAAUUCAACUCAAGUAUUCUUCCUAUGGCUCUUCCUCCACUCAUUCUGGACCUCCAGGCUGCUGACACAAUCACGAAUGAAUGAAGAGGAAUUAGCCUGUAAUUCCCUCGGUGGUUGCAUUAUCUGGAAAUGGGGUAGGGCAAUGGGACAGUCCUACCACUUCAGUCACAACCCUGAUCAAUUUAUUUUUAAAUAUCCCCCAUGGUAGAUGAGGGAAGCCAAGAAACACCAGCCCAGUAAAUUAACUUCUGUAGAAAUGCUUUCUUUUCUCCGUUUUGAUGUGGCGCAACAGUCCACCUUUAACAUGAUGUAUUAGCACUAUAUUAAGCAAGCUACCACUCUAUAUCCAUCAUUUCUGCUGUGCAUUAAACCUGGUUACCACGCAUUAAUCAUUGAUGCUGUGUGUUAAGUGGAGAUGCUUUUGUAACAGUAGAACCUGUUGGAAAACAAAGGGGAAAGAAAAUGGAAAAUUGCUUUUUGCAAGUAAGUUUAAAGUAACCUUCUUCUGGCCAUAUUAACCUCAACAGAGAGACUGGAAGUCUUGACAUCACUUUGUGGUAGCUUUAUUCCCUAACUGUUUUAUCACAUCUCUCAGGGGGCCUUGACAACUGUGAUUCUCCUGGACAUUUCAUGGAAGAGCCAGCCAGGGUAUAUAGCAAUCUGGAGUGAAACAAUUUCACUUGGUCCUCUUAUACUGGUACAGACAGGCUGUCAAACCUUGCUUGCUAUUUUCCAGGUCAGAUUGGAAAAGGGAGCCAAACAAAGAUGAUGAUUAAAAAUAACCUAGUUAAAUGUGGUGGAUUUCAGAUUUGCCUAUACAGU